AAGUCGUAACAAGGUUUCCGUAGGUGAACCUGCGGAAGGAUCAUUAAUGAGUUAGGGUCUUCCAGGCCCGAUCUCCAACCCUUUGUAAAACUACCAUGUUGCUUUGGCGGGCCCGUCUUUAACCGGACCGCUGGGGGUUUAUAACCCUUGGCCAGUGCUCGUCAAUAGCCCUUAACAAAACUCUUUUAACCAUGUUAAAUCUGAAAAUAUUUAAAUAAACUAAAACUUUCAACAACGGAUCUCUUGGUUCUG
Molecule: unclassified non-coding RNA, 252 nt
Filed under: fungal sp.
Lineage: Eukaryota; Fungi
Description: partial contains small subunit ribosomal RNA, internal transcribed spacer 1, and 5.8S ribosomal RNA
Rfam family: Eukaryotic small subunit ribosomal RNA (bases 1-46)
Source: RNAcentral